GGAAUAUUGGACAAUGGGCGCAAGCCUGAUCCAGCCAUGCCGCGUGGAUGAUGAAGGCCCUAGGGUUGUAAAGUCCUUUCGGCGGGGAGGAUAAUGACGGUACCCGCAGAAGAAGCCCCGGCCAACUUCGUGCCAGCAGCCGCGGUAAUACGAAGGGGGCUAGCGUUGCUCGGAAUCACUGGGCGUAAAGCGCACGUAGGCGGCUUUUUAAGUCAGGGGUGAAAUCCUGGAGCUCAACUCCAGAACUGCCUUUGAUACUGAGAAGCUUGAGUCCGGGAGAGGUGAGUGGAACUGCGAGUGUAGAGGUGAAAUCCGUAGAUAUUCGCAAGAACACCAGUGGCGAAGGCGGCUCACUGGCCCGCAACUGACGCUGAGGUGCGAAAGCGUGGGGAGCAAA
Molecule: ribosomal RNA, 397 nt
Filed under: uncultured bacterium
Lineage: Bacteria
Description: bacterial SSU rRNA
Rfam family: Bacterial small subunit ribosomal RNA
Source: RNAcentral